This 239-nucleotide unclassified non-coding RNA is filed under the name uncultured fungus. RNAcentral describes it as "sequence contains ITS1". Lineage: Eukaryota; Fungi. The record is from RNAcentral.
GUUCAGUUGUUAGGCGACACAGGGUCGCAGAGCAUUCGUUUAAAUACUUGGAGUUUAGUGAUGCGGCUUCAGACCGGAGAGCUCUCGCCCUUCGGCCAUCCGCCGUGAAUGUGCACAGGGGGUUUGCAAAGGUUGGACGGGGCCGGGAUCCCGCUGCACGGCCGGUUGGGCCGGAGCAGGGAUCGCCGUCCGCCGCCAGAGAUACGUUAAUGAUCCUUCCGCAGGUUCACCUACGGAAA